AGCAGCCGCGGUAAUUCCAGCUCCAAUAGCGUAUAUUUAAGUUGUUGCAGUUAAAAGCUCGUAGUUGAACCUCGGGGUCUACCCAUUGGUCAGGCUUAAUUGUCUGCACUGGUGAGAUGGAUCUCUACCUUCUGAGGAACUUUCAUGCCAUUUAUUUGGUGUGAUGGGAAAUCAGGACUGUUACUUUGAAAAAUUAGAGUGUUUAAAGCAGACUAUCGUCUGAAUACAUUAGCAUGGAAUAAUGAAAUAGGACGGACUGAUUCUAUUUCGUUGGUUUCUAGGAUCACCGUAAUGAUUAAUAGGGAUAGUUGGGGGCAUUAGUAUUCAAUUGUCAGAGGUGAAAUUCUUGGAUUUAUUGAAGACUAACUACUGCGAAAGCAUUUGCCAAGGAUGUUUUCAUUAAUCAAGAACGAAAGUUAGGGGAUCGAAGACGAUCAGAUACCGUCGUAGUCUUAACCAUAAACUAUGCCGACUAGGGAAUCGGAUGAUGUUAAUUUUUUCAAUGACUCAUUCGGCGCCU
Molecule: ribosomal RNA, 520 nt
Filed under: uncultured Diversispora
Lineage: Eukaryota; Fungi; Glomeromycota; Glomeromycetes; Diversisporales; Diversisporaceae
Description: SSU rRNA
Rfam family: Eukaryotic small subunit ribosomal RNA
Source: RNAcentral